CCGAUGGCGACCGGCGCACGGGUGAGUAACACGUAUCCAACCUGCCGAUAACUCGGGGAUAGCCUUUCGAAAGAAAGAUUAAUAUCCGACAGGAUAUCAAGGUCGCAUGAUCUUGAUAUUAAAGAAUUUCGGUUAUCGAUGGGGAUGCGUUCCAUUAGUUAGUUGGCGGGGUAACGGCCCACCAAGACGACGAUGGAUAGGGGUUCUGAGAGGAAGGUCCCCCACAUUGGAACUGAGACACGGUCCAAACUCCUACGGAAGGCAGCAG
RNAcentral lists this ribosomal RNA (268 nucleotides) under uncultured bacterium. RNAcentral's name for it is "partial 16S ribosomal RNA". It matches the Rfam family "Bacterial small subunit ribosomal RNA", at positions 85 to 354 of the family's 1533-position model. The record is from RNAcentral.